This 488-nucleotide long non-coding RNA is filed under the name Nicotiana benthamiana. RNAcentral describes it as "long non-coding RNA (NBEN_LNC018795)". The record is from RNAcentral. Lineage: Eukaryota; Viridiplantae; Streptophyta; Magnoliopsida; Solanales; Solanaceae.
UAUAUAUUUUCAUUUUUAUUCAGCAUUUGGGUUGAUGAACUAAACCAGAUAGUUAUAUGAGUGAAAGAAAAAGGCUUCUAAAUUUGCAGUAAAAAGGUCGAGUCUCAUUUCCUAUGUACAAGAAUCAAAUGGUGAAAAAAGUAAACAUAAGCAAUAAAGAUUGUUUACCCAAAUAUUGGUGAAUUGUCAUGAUAGCUUGAAGCGGGUUCAAAAGAUCAAAUGUGUGGAGUUUUUACUAUCUUUUACCAUAGAUGGAUUUCCACAACGGGAGGUUGAAAGCAAAAAUGAGUGGAUGGUUAGGAAGACCAAGAUACACAAAGGAUUAGUAAUUGAGAUUAUGUAAGUUAUAUGAGUGAAAGAAAAAGGCUUCUAAAUUUGCAGUAAAAAGGUCGAGUCUCAUUUCCUAUGUACAAGAAUCAAAUGGUGAAAAAAGUAAACAUAAGCAAUAAAGAUUGUUUACCCAAAUAUUGGUGAAUUGUCAUGAUAGC